AGAGUUUGAUCAUGGCUCAGGAUGAACGCUAGCGGCAGGCGUAAUACAUGCAAGUCGAACGGUGAUAGCAAUAUCAUAGUGGCGCACGGGUGCGUAACACGUAUGAACCUACCUUAUACUUAGGGAUAGCCUUUGGAAACGGAGAUUAAUACCUAAUAGUACAUUUGACUGGCAUCGGUUAACUGUUAAAGAUUUAUUGGUAUAAGAUGGGCAUGCGUCCAAUUAGUUAGUUGGUGAGGUAAUGGCUCACCAAGACGAUGAUUGGUAGGGGAACCGAGAGGUUAAUCCCCCACACUGGCACUGAGAUACGGGCCAGACUCCUACGGGAGGCAGCAGUAGGGAAUAUUGGGCAAUGGAGGGAACUCUGACCCAGCCAUGCCGCGUGCAGGAUGAAGGCGUUUGCGUUGUAAACUGCUUUUAUAUAGGAAGAAAUAGUCCUUGCGAGGAAAGUUGACGGUACUAUAUGAAUAAGCACCGGCUAACUCCGUGCCAGCAGCCGCGGUAAUACGGAGGGUGCAAGCGUUGUCCGGAUUUAUUGGGUUUAAAGGGUGCGUAGGCGGUUUAUUAAGUCAGUGGUGAAAGACGGUCGCUCAACGAUUGCAGUGCCAUUGAUACUGGUAGACUUGAGUAUGGUUGAGGUAGCUGGAAUGGAUAGUGUAGCGGUGAAAUGCAUAGAUAUUAUCCAGAACACCAAUUGCGUAGGCAAGUUACUAAGUCAUAACUGACGCUGAGGCACGAAAGUGUGGGUAUCAAACAGGAUUAGAUACCCUGGUAGUCCACACUGUAUACGAUGAUAACUAACUGUUGGCUUUUGGGUCAGUGGUACAGAGAAAUCGUUAAGUUAUCCACCUGGGGAGUACGCCGGCAACGGUGAAACUCAAAUGAAUUGACGG
This 893-nucleotide ribosomal RNA is filed under the name uncultured bacterium. RNAcentral describes it as "bacterial SSU rRNA". It matches the Rfam family "Bacterial small subunit ribosomal RNA", at positions 8 to 916 of the family's 1533-position model. The record is from RNAcentral.